This 427-nucleotide ribosomal RNA is filed under the name uncultured bacterium. RNAcentral's name for it is "bacterial SSU rRNA". It matches the Rfam family "Bacterial small subunit ribosomal RNA", at positions 355 to 774 of the family's 1533-position model. The record is from RNAcentral.
UGGGGAAUUUUGGACAAUGGGCGCAAGCCUGAUCCAGCAAUGCCGCGUGCAGGAUGAAGGCCUUCGGGUUGUAAACUGCUUUUGUACGGAACGAAACGGUCUUUUCUAAUACAGAAGGCUAAUGGCGGUACCGUAAGAAUAAGCACCGGCUAACUACGUGCCAGCAGCCGCGGUAAUGCGUAGGGUGCGAACGUUAAUCGGAAUUACUGGGCGUAAAGCGUGCGCAGGCGGUUUUGUAAGACAGAGGUGAAAUCCCCGGGCUCAACCUGGGAAUUGCCUUUGUGACUGCAAGGCUUGAGUGCGGCAGAGGGGGAUGGAAUUCCGCGUGUAGCAGUGAAAUGCGUAGAUAUGCGGAGGAACACCGAUGGCGAAGGCAAUCCCCUGGACCUGUACUGACGCUCAUGCACGAAAGCGUGGGGAGCAAACA